Molecule: non-coding RNA, 76 nt
Organism: Potamilus streckersoni
Lineage: Eukaryota; Metazoa; Mollusca; Bivalvia; Unionida; Unionidae
Source: the annotation of a GenBank genome assembly
UUAUUUCGGUGGCCUAGUGGUUAGAGCGCCCGCCUCGGAUGCGGGAGGUAGUGGGUUCAAUCGACGGCCUAGUCAU